AGCAGCCGCGGUAAUUCCAGCUCCAAUAGCGUAUAUUAAAGUUGUUGCAGUUAAAAAGCUCGUAGUUGAAUUUCGGGAUCAAUGUUUCGGUCAUGCCCUUGGUAUGUACUGAUAUUAUUGGUUUCUCACCUUCUAAAGAACCGUAAUGCCAUUAAUUUGGUGUCACGGGGAAUUAGGACUGUUACCUUGAAAAAAUUAGAGUGUUUAAAGCAGGCUCACGCUUGAAUACAUUAGCAUGGAAUAAUGAAAUAGGACAUCCGAUUCUAUUUUGUUGGUUUCUAGGAUCGAUGUAAUGAUUAAUAGGGAUAGUUGGGGGCAUUAGUAUUCAAUUGUCAGAGGUGAAAUUCUUGGGUUUAUUGAAGACUAACUACUGCGAAAGCAUUUGCCAAGGAUGUUUUCAUUAAUCAAGAACGAAAGUUAGGGGAUCGAAGACGAUCAGAUACCGUCGUAGUCUUAACCAUAAACUAUGCCGACUAGGGAUCGGAUGAUGUUAAUUUUUUAAUGACUCA
Molecule: ribosomal RNA, 509 nt
Filed under: uncultured glomeraceous AM fungus
Lineage: Eukaryota; Fungi; Glomeromycota; Glomeromycetes; Glomerales; Glomeraceae
Description: SSU rRNA
Rfam family: Eukaryotic small subunit ribosomal RNA
Source: RNAcentral